Non-coding RNA from Notechis scutatus (mainland tiger snake), 437 nucleotides. The record is from RefSeq and is a predicted model, not a curated record. Lineage: Eukaryota; Metazoa; Chordata; Lepidosauria; Squamata; Elapidae.
AAGGUUUGAACUCCACUCUCUUCUAUUUAAGCAAUUCCACAAAGCUUAAAAAGGAACAAAAUUGUGCAUACUAUGACUUAUCGCUGUUGUGUUCUAAUCAGGCAUUAUUACCUUGGAGGAACUGACAGCAGUUUUGCCAUUUGGAGGAACUUUCGACUUGCUGCAGAUCAAAGGUUCUACUCUAAGACAAGCAUUUGAGCACAGUGUUCACCGACAUGGGCACGGAACUGGGGAAUUGCUACAGGUCUCAGGCAUAAAAGUGGUGUAUGAUCUCUCCCAAAAGCCAGGGAAAAGGGUGGUCAGCUUAAAUGUUCUUUGCACAAAGUGCAGAGUACCAACUUAUGUGCCGCUUGAGAUGGAAAAGACCUACAAAGUGCUUUUACCUUCUUUCCUUGCUGCUGGCGGUGAUGGAUACUACAUGCUAAAGGGGGACUCAA